This 344-nucleotide unclassified non-coding RNA is filed under the name Hevea brasiliensis (rubber tree). Lineage: Eukaryota; Viridiplantae; Streptophyta; Magnoliopsida; Malpighiales; Euphorbiaceae. The record is from RNAcentral.
AUUGCUGCCUUUCACAUUGCUCCAUAACUCCAUAUUACCCAUACCCUUUUAUCUCUUCUUUCUUUCUCUUCAUCAAAUACACACACCACAAACAUCAAAGCUUCAUUUCUCUCCCAAUCGUUCUAUAUAUCUGUCUAUCAAUGGCCGUUCAAGCUCAAUACCCUUCAAAUGUUCUCCUUCUAAACAGAAACGGGCAAGAGGGUCAUGAUUAUUCAUUGCAACCACAACCAGGAAGAUUUCUUGAUCAAUCCCAUAUGCUAUUCACCAAUGGAGGGGCUAAUAAUCCACGCAAGAGAGGAAGAGAAGGGUCAGCAGCAGCGGCAACGGUAGCAAUUACAACCACC